RNAcentral lists this ribosomal RNA (253 nucleotides) under uncultured bacterium. Its description in RNAcentral is "partial 16S ribosomal RNA". It matches the Rfam family "Bacterial small subunit ribosomal RNA", at positions 524 to 776 of the family's 1533-position model. The record is from RNAcentral.
UACGUAGGGUGCAAGCGUUAUCCGGCAUUAUUGGGCGUAAAGCGCUCGUAGGCGGUUUGUCGCGUCUGCUGUGAAAACUGGAGGCUCAACCUCCGGCCUGCAGUGGGUACGGGCAGACUAGAGUGCGGUAGGGGAGAUUGGAAUUCCUGGUGUAGCGGUGGAAUGCGCAGAUAUCAGGAGGAACACCGAUGGCGAAGGCAGAUCUCUGGGCCGUAACUGACGCUGAGGAGCGAAAGCAUGGGGAGCGAACAGG